RNAcentral lists this ribosomal RNA (274 nucleotides) under uncultured bacterium. Its description in RNAcentral is "partial 16S ribosomal RNA". It matches the Rfam family "Archaeal small subunit ribosomal RNA", at positions 473 to 747 of the family's 1478-position model. The record is from RNAcentral.
AAACCAGCACCUCAAGUGGUCAGGAGGAUUAUUGGGCCUAAAGCAUCCGUAGCCUGUUCUAUAAGUUUCCGGUUAAAUCCAUUAGCUCAACUAAUGGGCCGCCGAAAAUACUGUGGAACUAGGGAGUGGGAGAGGUAGACGGUACUCGGUAGGAAGGGGUAAAAUCCUUUGAUCUAUUGAUGACCACCUGUGGCGAAGGCGGUCUACCAGAACACGUUCGACGGUGAGGGAUGAAAGCUGGGGGAGCAAACCGGAUUAGAUACCCCAGUAGUCC